This 900-nucleotide ribosomal RNA is filed under the name uncultured bacterium. Its description in RNAcentral is "bacterial SSU rRNA". It matches the Rfam family "Bacterial small subunit ribosomal RNA", at positions 8 to 898 of the family's 1533-position model. The record is from RNAcentral.
AGAGUUUGAUCCUGGCUCAGGAUGAACGCUAGCUACAGGCUUAACACAUGCAAGUCGAGGGGAAACGAUAGAGAAAGCUUGCUUUUUCUAGGCGUCGACCGGCGCACGGGUGAGUAACGCGUAUCCAACCUGCCCAUCACUUGGGGAUAACCUUGCGAAAGUAAGACUAAUACCCAAUGAUAUCUCUAGAAGACAUCUGAAAGAGAUUAAAGAUUUAUCGGUGAUGGAUGGGGAUGCGUCUGAUUAGCUUGUUGGCGGGGUAACGGCCCACCAAGGCGACGAUCAGUAGGGGUUCUGAGAGGAAGGUCCCCCACAUUGGAACUGAGACACGGUCCAAACUCCUACGGGAGGCAGCAGUGAGGAAUAUUGGUCAAUGGACGAGAGUCUGAACCAGCCAAGUAGCGUGCAGGAUGACGGCCCUAUGGGUUGUAAACUGCUUUUAUAAGGGAAUAAAGUGAGUCUCGUGAGACUUUUUGCAUGUACCUUAUGAAUAAGGACCGGCUAAUUCCGUGCCAGCAGCCGCGGUAAUACGGAAGGUCCGGGCGUUAUCCGGAUUUAUUGGGUUUAAAGGGAGCGUAGGCCGGAGAUUAAGCGUGUUGUGAAAUGUAGACGCUCAACGUCUGCACUGCAGCGCGAACUGGUUUCCUUGAGUACGCACAAAGUGGGCGGAAUUCGUGGUGUAGCGGUGAAAUGCUUAGAUAUCACGAAGAACUCCGAUUGCGAAGGCAGCUCACUGGAGCGCAACUGACGCUGAAGCUCGAAAGUGCGGGUAUCGAACAGGAUUAGAUACCCUGGUAGUCCGCACGGUAAACGAUGGAUGCCCGCUGUUGGUCUGAAUAGGUCAGCGGCCAAGCGAAAGCAUUAAGCAUCCCACCUGGGGAGUACGCCGGCAACGGUGAA